Molecule: non-coding RNA, 931 nt
Organism: Lolium perenne
Lineage: Eukaryota; Viridiplantae; Streptophyta; Magnoliopsida; Poales; Poaceae
Source: RefSeq, a predicted model, not a curated record
UCUAUUAUAAAUAUAUAAGAGUGUAGGAUACAUAUAUAUUACAAUUAAUAAAUGGCAAUAUUUGGUGCGACAUCUUAACAUUUGUAUCUAUAGAAAACACAAUUAUAAAGAAUAUUACACCGUAUCACAUUUGCAUAAAUUCGACGAAAGAAAAAUAUCCUCUUUAAAUGAUAAUACUCCGUACAUUUUUCAUUCUAUCAAUGUAAAAUACAACUUCUGAUCACAAAAGUCUUCAAAUUUUAUUUCCUCUUUGAUCCAAUCAGGAACUUCAGCUGCAACUCAAUCUUUCUUUCGAAUCUGCAAAAUAAAAUUGAAAACUAUGGUUAAUGAUUAAAUGUACAUGAAUACGAUUAUAAAAUAUUAAAGGGAAGAAAAUAACUCACGAAAGCUGUAGGCCAAGCAAUUAAGAUCCAAGCUGAGCAAGUGGUUUAUGUGGAUGGUGAAACGAAGCCUGGUUAGUCUGUUGUAAUGAAGCCACCAAAACCUAGAAGUCUCUAUGAUACUGGCAAUGAGGAAUAUGCAGAGGACAGAGAGCCCUUCCAUGUCUCGCACCUUGCGAAGAUGUUCAAAAAUAAAAGGCAUGACAAACAUUGGGUAAGGACUGACAUUGAAGGAACAAAAGUGGAUGAUAACACCAAUGCUCCGAGCAAUGAAGAAUUGUAAAAGAGCAACCAGGUGUUUUUCAGGUUGUGCCUACCUGACAAAUUUGCAUGUGGAGAUUAGAAGGAUAUUUCUGAACUGGCGCAUGAAGCUAUGGGUUCUAUUAGUGAACUUUCAUAUGUUUGCAUAGUUUUUGCUCUUUGAACCUGAAGCUUGGAAAAAUUCAGAAAAUUGCUACUAAGUUAAGCCUCAUGUAUCACAGAUUUUUGUUGGAACCAGCUAGACUUGUUAAAGAAUUGUUAUGUCUUGCUGAAAUGGACGUCUUAAGUUA